RNAcentral lists this ribosomal RNA (765 nucleotides) under uncultured Gammaproteobacteria bacterium. Its description in RNAcentral is "bacterial SSU rRNA". It matches the Rfam family "Bacterial small subunit ribosomal RNA", at positions 8 to 768 of the family's 1533-position model. Lineage: Bacteria; Pseudomonadati; Pseudomonadota; Gammaproteobacteria. The record is from RNAcentral.
AGAGUUUGAUCCUGGCUCAGAUUGAACGCUGGCGGCAGGCCUAACACAUGCAAGUCGAGCGGAUGACGGGAGCUUGCUCCUUGAUUCAGCGGCGGACGGGUGAGUAAUGCCUAGGAAUCUGCCUGGUAGUGGGGGACAACGUUUCGAAAGGAACGCUAAUACCGCAUACGUCCUACGGGAGAAAGCAGGGGACCUUCGGGCCUUGCGCUAUCAGAUGAGCCUAGGUCGGAUUAGCUAGUUGGUGGGGUAAUGGCUCACCAAGGCGACGAUCCGUAACUGGUCUGAGAGGAUGAUCAGUCACACUGGAACUGAGACACGGUCCAGACUCCUACGGGAGGCAGCAGUGGGGAAUAUUGGACAAUGGGCGAAAGCCUGAUCCAGCCAUGCCGCGAGUGUGAAGAAGGUCUUCGGAUUGUAAAGCACUUUAAGUUGGGAGGAAGGGCAGUAAGCUAAUACCUUGCUGUUCUGACGUUACCGACAGAAUAAGCACCGGCUAACUCUGUGCCAGCAGCCGCGGUAAUACAGAGGGUGCAAGCGUUAGUCGGAAUUACUGGGCGUAAAGCGCGCGUAGGUGGUUUGUUAAGUUGGAUGUGAAAGCCCCGGGCUCAACCUGGGAACUGCAUCCAAGACUGGCAAGCUAGAGUACGGUAGAGGGUGGUGGAAUUUCCUGUGUAGCGGUGAAAUGCGUAGAUAUAGGAAGGAACACCAGUGGCGAAGGCGACCACCUGGACUGAUACUGACACUGAGGUGCGAAAGCGUGGGGAG